UAAAGAAUUCCGGACGUAUCAUGCUUCAGCUCAGGAAAGUAGAUACAAAAGCAGAACUAUCUUCCAAAUUCCUAACAUAAAGAUUAUUAUUUGAAAAUGACAGAAAUUCGAGUGACACCACUAGGUAAUUUAUGUUAUCAUUCCACAAUAUGUACAGAAGCAUUACUCAAAUGUCACAGCUUUCUACUUGACUUGAGUGAUCUACUGAGUCUAAACAAAAUUAUGAAAAUAAUUAUAUCAUGUCAGUCAGGAGUAAUAUCAAUACAUUGUUUGUGUACCUAUGGGGUCUAUGCGUGACGCAGGAUAGGCUAAUUUUAUUAGGCAUGACACAUGAAAACGUGAAAUAAUGUCCGGUGGGACACGAGAAAUUACAUGCACUGUUAUUGCGAUCAUACCCCACCAAUGAGACCCCCUGGUAUGGAAUAGGGAUAAAUUAUGAAUAAUCUUUUAUACGCAAUAAAUAAAUAAAUUGUAAUAUUUAUGUUGAUAAAAUAGUGCUAAAACAAAGAAUGAUCUAUUUUUAUUUCAUUUAUAAUUUAUUAGUUAAAACUCAUUGAAUUGUUAAAAUCAAUGUAUGCAUAUAUCAUGAAUAUACAAUUUGCACCCCCUUCUCAGAAGUCUCUCCCAGCGUUUAAACAUCUGUAUACAUGUACUAUACACAUCUGAUUACGGUAAUUGAAUAUGAAUACUUUUUUUAAAACCCCUAAAAUGCCAGAUUUGAUACUUAAUUUGGCACCUGAUUUAUAUGACAAUAUCUAAAACUUUAACUACUUUUUGUUCACAUAAAUAUAAAUUCAUUAUUUCAUUUUCUUGCAGGUGCAGGCCAGGGUAAGUUUAAGAAUACUAAACAAGCUGUAAAUAGCCAAUGGUAGCCUAAAUAUCUAGCAAGAGAUUAUACAAAAUAUAUAUAAAUGUAUGUACAAAAUAUAAUUUUACCAAUAUUAAAAAAGGGACGUUAUUUUUAAAAAGAAGAUGUGGUAUGCAUAUGGUUGCCAAUGAGACAACUCUUCAUGAUGAGACCAAAUAACACAGAAAGUAACAACUGAAGGUCACCCUACAGCCUCCAACAAAGACCAAAGCCCAUAUUACAUGCAUGUAGUUUAUUUAUUUGAUAAAAGAUGAAUUAUUCUAGUCUGUAAAAUAUUUGUAUGGUUUAUUUUCUCACUUUUAAAACUAAGAGGACUACAAAAUUAUACACAAAAUACAAUUUCCUGAUAUAUAUGGUAUAUUUGGAGCUUUUUCUUUGGAAUUAAUGUCACAAAAUUAGAUCCAUACAUGAAAGAGGUGCCAUUUUUACUAGAAAAUACUCAAUAUAUGCGUCCAUUGGAAACAAUGUAAUAGUGAACAUGGUGAAUACACUUUAAGUAACCUUACAAAAAAUAUUGAUUUAAAAAAGAAGUCCUUAUGAUCAUAUGACAUGCAUGAUAGACUAUUGAAAUUUUGCAUCAAUAUUAAAUUAUUUUAUUGCUAUUUUAUCUUCACUAUCUACAGAUGUGGGUAGGAGCUGUAUCUUGGUAACAAUUGGUGGUAAAAACAUCAUGAUGGACUGUGGUAUGCACAUGGGUUAUAACGAUGAUGUAAGUCUAUUAUAAAAGUUUACUGAU
Molecule: long non-coding RNA, 1604 nt
Filed under: Mytilus galloprovincialis (Mediterranean mussel)
Lineage: Eukaryota; Metazoa; Mollusca; Bivalvia; Mytilida; Mytilidae
Source: RNAcentral